Molecule: RNA transcript, 3449 nt
Organism: Triticum dicoccoides
Lineage: Eukaryota; Viridiplantae; Streptophyta; Magnoliopsida; Poales; Poaceae
Exons: 4
Source: RefSeq, a predicted model, not a curated record
UCUCCCACAUCACCGCCACCACCACCCCUAUCCCAUCCCUCCCCUCGUCUCCCUACCAGACCUUGCCGCCGCCGGCCUCCCCUCCUCUCCGCUUCCCUCCCACCUCAGGCGGAGCCCCCACCUAUCCAUCUCUCUCUAGCGACCCCUCUCUCUCCCCCAGGACUCAUCUUCGGCACUAGGGUUUGCGGUGGCUUUGCCCCAUGCUCGCCAUGGCUCUCCAGCAACCAGGACAACGAUGAUGUCGACGGGAUCCUACGGGCGCGUCCUCCUGCAGCCACUGGCGAACCUACCAUCCUCUAGGGUUUGAGCCACCGCGUCGCCGACGUGGCUCCGACGUUGUUCCAAUCCGUCAUCGCUCGAGGAACGAAAGGCCAUGGACGGGAUGGCCACUUCCUCCCCUGCUCCGACGCCAUGGAGGCCACCUUCUCGCUGCAGCGUCUCUUGCUGUCGAGUCUCUCUGUGGUGGUCUGGUGGCUGUGAUCUCUACCCGCCCCAAUGGAUUGGCCAGCGUUGGCGUACACAAUGGAGGUGCUGCUGUUCUGCUACGCCAACCUCAUCCUACAGCCCUCCGUCGCCCCACUAGCAAGCUGCAAGGUUAUCAUCAGGAAUAAACAACUUAUAGUUAGCUGAACAAGUGUAGUUUUGUGUAGCAAACAGUUUCUUUGGAUGAAGCAUCUGUCCUAGUUUCGUCGGCUAUAGCGUGUGCUGUAAGUUCCAAUCCAACCUUCUGGAAAGCAAUGCAUUGGUCUUCUAAUUGUUACAACAAAGUUUGCAACAAUUCAAAAGUUGUUCAACUAGACAACUGAUCUAAGAGCUUGCUUCUCAGCAAAAUUGUUGCUACGAUGCGACGUUACAAUCAGUCGGUGUAUCCUUCUGAAUCUUGGUUGUGUGUUGGAACUUAUUUAUCCGUGGGAACGUUUGGGGAUUGCAUUGUUGCAUUCUGAAUCAUACAAUUUGGAGACGUUUAUUUAUCUGUGAGAAGGAACAUUAAGAUAUUCAUCUGCUGCAUUCUAAAUUAGACAAUGAGAAUUGUUUUAUUUUUCAGUACACCAGGUGAUGUAGCUGUAAGUUCCAGCCCGGCCUUUGCACUGGCUAUGUUUCUAGGCAUAGUCCAGUUGUUCUGUUUAAUUUGUAUGAAGUUGAAGUCCCAGUUUUUGCUUGUAAACAUCUUGCUAUUUAUUUGAUAUGACCUGGUUAUUUUUUGAACGACAUGGUCAAGGUUAUUAACAAUUAUCCGUGCUGCCAAUUCGAACAUGCACAUGAUUUUUAGGAUAUCGCAAGCUCUUGCAAACGAUUUGGUUAAUGAGUUGCAAUAAUAUACAACCAUAGAAUCCUACACCAUGUGGUGGACUUAAGUAUCUUAGUGACUUCAUUUGAUGUGUGUGUAUUUCUGUUAAUUUUAAGCUUAUGUUGCUGUGAGAAUGUACCUCACAGACCAUCUGUGUAUUUAUUGUGGACUUCUUGUAUGAGUGGGGAUUGUGGUAGUUCUGUCACAACAUUCUGUUAGCUAAAAUGAAAUCAGAAAAUGAGCUUUGUUUGUUCUUGUACUCUUUGUAUGUUCCUUUUGUUUUUUUAAUUUGAUGACAAUGAACCAAUAUAACCAAUUACCAGUAGCUACUGUGCAUUGCCAAGUACAACUGUUUUACUUUGUAUGGAAUCAUGUAUAGAUAUUAUUUCUUUAAGUGUUGCUGGCUAUAUUAAAAUUAUACUCUGAGGCACUGUAGCAUUAGUGUGUUGUUUCGCUUUGGGCCUUCUCUAUCUAUGCUUGUAAGUCAGGUUGUUUUUGUGGCAUCCAGGGGCACAAUGCUAGUAGGCAAGCUAGCACACAUGGAUUCGUGAACUGGCUUGGAUGUGUUCUUGGUCGUCUGGGUUGGAUGAGGACGAUGGAAACGAUGUGAGACCAGCGUGAUCCACCUCCCACUUCCUUCUUGUGAUUCCCUAACUACUCAACAUGUUGAUUGGUUCUGAACAUCUGAAACUUCUUGUGUGCAGGGUACACAUGUACUGGCUAUUUAUAGUGUUUUAUUUGCUGCCAUGUUUUAUGCAUGUUCUUAUACUCCAAUUACUUUUGGAGUCUGGAUAUAAUGAUGAAGUACUUUAUUUGUAUGGUCAUACUGCUUGUCACUCCAUAUGUUAUAGUGAUUCCCUCUGUUUCCUUAUAUGUUCUUGUAGUUUGGUUGCUUUCCUGUUCAUGCAUGUUUGUACAUCUAUAUAUAGUUUUGCUGUGAAUCUGUCAUGCAUGCAUGUAUUGAAAUGCAGGAAAUGUUGAAUACAUGUUCGCUCUCAGCUGGGAUAUUGGAUUGUACAUAGUUAUGUGAUUUAUUCAUGUCUGCUUCUUAUCUUAUUAAGUGAUUAUAUUUAUGUCCUUGCUACCUGUAGGAUGGUCAAUAGCUUGUUCUGUAGUUUAUCUAUUCCUGUACAGUUUGCUUUUCCCUUCAUAUCUGACUACGUAUUGUAGAAUCUCUAAUUUAUGCCUGUAGCAUUGUUCUACUAUCUGUGUGAUGCUGAAAAAUAUGCUCUUAAUCUGUUGCUAUAUUCUCACCAAAUGCACAGUUUAUUUCCUUAGACCUACUGUUAAACAAAGGCUUAACUUGUAACAUUUUUUCUUAACAAUAAGCAUAGAAUUCCUGACUAUGUUAUAUGAUCAGCUUACUCCUGCUUGAAUAACUAUACUAAUUCCCGACUCUGUUAUAUGUAAGGAGUAAAAUAGUUUACUCGAGUGAUAUCCACUGGAUCACUAUCUUAAAUCACCUUAUUAGCAUUGUGUGCUGCUAAUAGUAUUUUAGACUUACCAUAUCCUCUCUGGCUAGGUCUUCCUCACCGGCGAUGGCAGGAGCGCAUGAUAGACUUCUAAAUGGACAAGUAUCUGCAACGUUCAGUGUCAAUGAUGAUGCUUACCAGAUAUUCUACUGUAGCCCCAUCCAUAUCAUCGACGUGAAGUCAGAUCUACUCGUCCUGAAAUUGAUGGCCUGAAGCUUGAUACACAUAUCAUGUGACACACAUUAGGAAAUUUGAAUAACAUCGACAUAGGUUCUCUGUUAUCUUGCACUGGGUUGAUACUUACCGGUUUCCCUUACAAAUAUAUUACAUAUUUUCUUUUAUGAGAAUUUUAUCUGCAUGGUUUCUUAUUAGAUCUCAAAUUCUGCAGCUAUUUUUCAUUGUUAGGAAAAUGUUAUAUGCACGGCUUCACUUGAUUAUGUUCCUAACUUUUCUGAUUUAUAACCUACAGAUGCCUUCAUUUGUCAAAAGUUGGUGUACAGGAACUCCAGGAGAAGAAUCCCAAAGAAAACAUGCACCCAGCAAUUUGUUCUAGCUCACUGGAGCAUCAUUUUGAAGUACCUAAUUUAUGGCUGAGCACCUGAUUUAUGGUUGAGUACCUGUUUUGUACUAUGCAUUAUUGUAAAGUACUUUGUUUGGCCAUUGUAUGAAAACACUAUGUGUUUUUGGCU